This is a small nuclear RNA of Acomys russatus (golden spiny mouse), 108 nucleotides long. The record is from RefSeq and is a predicted model, not a curated record. NCBI's taxonomy places the organism in Eukaryota, Metazoa, Chordata, Mammalia, Rodentia, Muridae.
GUGCUCACUUCAGCAGCACAUAUACUAAAAUUGGAAUGAAUCAGAGAAAAUUAGCACAGCCCCUGCACAAAAACAAAACAAAACAAAACAGAACAAAACACCUGACCU